RNAcentral lists this ribosomal RNA (301 nucleotides) under uncultured bacterium. RNAcentral describes it as "partial 16S ribosomal RNA". It matches the Rfam family "Bacterial small subunit ribosomal RNA", at positions 509 to 807 of the family's 1533-position model. The record is from RNAcentral.
CAGUAGCCACGGGAACACGAAGGGGGCUAGCGUUGUUCGGAAUUACUGGGCGUAAAGCGCACGUAGGCGGAUAUUUAAGUCAGGGGUGAAAUCCCAGAGCUCAACUCUGGAACUGCCUUUGAUGCUGGGUAUCUUGAGUAUGGAAGAGGUGAGUGGAGUUCCGAGUGUAGAGGUGAAAUUCGUAGAUAUUCGGAGGAACACCAGUGGCGAAGGCGGCUCACUGGUCCAUUACUGACGCUGAGGUGCGAAAGCGUGGGGAGCAAACAGGAUUAGAUACCCCUGUAGUCCCUGUCUCUUAUAC